Canis lupus familiaris (dog) is the source of this 604-nucleotide long non-coding RNA. RefSeq lists it as uncharacterized. The record is from RefSeq and is a predicted model, not a curated record. NCBI's taxonomy places the organism in Eukaryota, Metazoa, Chordata, Mammalia, Carnivora, Canidae. The transcript is spliced from 2 exons.
ACAGGGAAAUUCUAUGUCCUUUCUUCUGGACACAGAGUUAUGUGUAGUAAAUAGAAAUGCUUCGGCAAUAAGCGCCCAGUUGCCAGACCAAAGGAAUCCAGUUUACACUUGUGUUCCAUCCCCUCUAUCACUCUCCACCCACAAGAACUACUACCCUCAAACAGGUUCCAAGAGAAUUCUUAGAAUAGAAACAGACAAGAGCAAAAGAUUCUAAAAAUAAUACAGUAGAAAUUCAAACAUAAAUAUCUCAGGUUCUUGAAGUGAAGGAAACACCAGGUUAUUUCAAUCUAUUCAACCAAAUUUUAAAACUCAUAUUUACCUAGCCUCAUCCAGAGUAAAUUAAAGAUAGGAUAGAUUAAUAGCAGAACAUGUUUUCAACACAUGCUGAGAACUAUGAAGAUUUUGCUGAAAGCACCAACCACCAAAGUGGUCUUAUCACUUUAUUUAAGCUAGUAUUACCAAGUGUCAGCACUGGAAGAUAGCUCUAAAACCAGGAGGCUCACACAAUGAGGUAUCUCAUCUACUGCAUUAAAAAAAAAAAAAAAAAUCUACAUUCCAGAAACAGCAAAAAUGAAUGUCUCUUUUUCAAAGAGAAUGUAAUUAU